This 253-nucleotide ribosomal RNA is filed under the name uncultured bacterium. RNAcentral's name for it is "partial 16S ribosomal RNA". It matches the Rfam family "Bacterial small subunit ribosomal RNA", at positions 524 to 776 of the family's 1533-position model. The record is from RNAcentral.
UACGUAGGGUGCGAGCGUUGUCCGGAAUUACUGGGCGUAAAGAGCUUGUAGGUGGUUUGUCGCGUUGUUCGUGAAAACUCACAGCUCAACUGUGGGCGUGCGGGCGAUACGGGCAGACUAGAGUACUGCAGGGGAGACUGGAAUUCCUGGUGUAGCGGUGGAAUGCGCAGAUAUCAGGAGGAACACCGGUGGCGAAGGCGGGUCUCUGGGCAGUAACUGACGCUGAGACGCGAAAGCGUGGGGAGCGAACAGG